Molecule: long non-coding RNA, 1253 nt
Organism: Erinaceus europaeus (western European hedgehog)
Lineage: Eukaryota; Metazoa; Chordata; Mammalia; Eulipotyphla; Erinaceidae
Exons: 4
Source: RefSeq, a predicted model, not a curated record
ACUAGUAGAAUUAAAUUAAAUCUUGAUUAGCAUCAAACGUCCAAAAUAUAGAAAACAAUUAACUCUUAUAGUCCUUCCUUUGGCAUGUAAAGAGCUGUGGAAAAUACCUAUUAUGUAGUCAGUACUGUGUAAAUGUCAGCCAGUAGAAGAGAAUGCAUGAGCCAUAUGGACACUUUGUUCUUUCACUGAUGUAGACCCAAUAUAAACCAACAUUUCCGGCAUAGAUUGAGUUUAAUAAAUAUUUGCUGAAUAAAUGAAUGGCAAAGUAGUGAAAUUAUAUAUUUGGACAUAUUUAUCUAAUGUAUGGACUUUGGGGUCCUUCCUUUAGAUCCACAUGAGUGCUGUGCUCAUGGCUGCUUCAGUGUGAUAGUUGUGGGUCCCCAAGGGGGAAAAAAAAGAGCAGAAAGGAGAGAACGAAAGCUAAAACGAAGAACUGAAAACUCUCUCCUCAAUUCUCUCAGACAGACAAUAAAGCAAAUGCCUUGGGACACUAGGAAUUAGAAAGACCGAAAAAAAAAAAAAAAAAGCCAGAACAGAAAAUAACUUCCUACAUGGUGAGCCUAAAGCUGUUCUUGCCAAGAAACUAAAAUAAGCACUGGCAGUCAGCUCAGUCAGAGCAGAGUCAACACAUAAAGUAAGAGGAUAAUCAGAAAGGACUCCUGGGUUCCUGCAAGGUGUUUCAUGCUGAAAUGUCAUGGCAAAUGCUUCUCAGAGGACCCCAACUAACACAGAAAAUAUGUAAUUACUCCAUCCUGGACGAUGCCGUUAAGCACAAAGCCUUUGAAGUCCACUGUACAUAUAAUUCAGCUGACACUGGAUUGGACUGGAGUCCAUCUAAAUAAAGUCCAAGCGUGAGCAGACAUCAAAAUAUCUUCCCCAUAAUUGCCACCAAGUUGCAGAUGCUACCAUGAUGCCAACGUUAAUUCUCUGGGCAGAUGACCUCAUCAAUGUGUCCUGGAACAUUACCUCUCCAGAACCCUGCCUCACUAGGGACAGAUAGAAACAGGCUGGGAGUUUGGAUCAACCUGCCAAUGCCCAUGUCCAGUGGAGAAGCAAUUACAUAAGCCAGACCGCCCAUCUUCUGCACCCCAUAGUGAUCCUGGGUCCAUGCUCCCACAGGGAUAAAGAAUAAAUAGGAAAGCUUCCAGUGGAGGGGAUGGGAUGCAGAACUCUGGAAGUGGGAACUGUGUGUAAGUAAACCCCUCUUAUCCAACGGAUAUGUCGAUCAUAAAUAAAUCAACUAAAAAUUUUAA